RNA transcript from Ctenopharyngodon idella (grass carp), 1453 nucleotides. RefSeq lists it as uncharacterized. The record is from RefSeq and is a predicted model, not a curated record. The transcript has 5 exons. NCBI's taxonomy places the organism in Eukaryota, Metazoa, Chordata, Actinopteri, Cypriniformes, Xenocyprididae.
CUAUCAUGGAGGAUUCGGUCGAGGUCAUCCUUCUGCAUAAAAGUUGCAAGCUCUCCCAGCAUACUCAGGAAAAGUCACUUUUCACAGCAGCAUCUGGAGCUUUGCUCAUGGGUGUUUAUGGGCUCUGGACAUUAUUUGCACUUCCUGGCUUCCGGAAAGUACCCAUAUAUCUCAAGGUACUGGAAGUAAUAUACCAUAUAUUGGCAGCUAUGUAUAGCAGUUUGUUCAGUUAUACAUAAUAAAGAGCUGCCAAUAUUACAGUAUUCGUUCAGUACCCUGGGUGAUAUCUUUUUAGAUGGCAACAAUCUGCACUUUACCAUGUGCCUGGAUACAGUGGUUGUUUAGACUGCAGAGAGGGAAAGUCAAUCAAUCAAUUAAUCACUGAUGUAAAUGAAAUUAAUAUUGUCCAGGUGCCUUAUUUGCCCUCCAGCAGAACACAGACCCAGAAUGUAAUGAAACUCCUGCAUGGGAGAGCAGGGUGUCUGGCAGAUCUGGGCUCAGGUGAUGGACGACUGGUGCUAUACGAGAUGCUUCUGAUGGCUUUCUGCAGAUGACUACUUUCUCACCACAAUACAUGGUAUUUGCCGCCACUGUAGAGGGUUUCCAGUGCACUGGCUUUGAAAUCAAUUCUAUCCUAGCUGGAUAUGCCAGAGUCAAAACAAAGUGGAAGGGAAUACCAUCCAGCACUUCCAGUUUUAUAAACCAGGACUUUUGGAAGACCAAUUUGUCCAAAUAUAACAAUGUGACUGUUUUCUUGGCACCCGGAGUGGUAUGUAUGCGCAGAUGUCCUUGCUCCAUUUAUACUGAGCUGAUAAAAAGACAAUUUGAGAGCUGUUUUAAAAAUAGAAAAGAUAGUACAGUAUCUUUAAAAAUCAGUACAAAGAAUUACAUCAUCUAGACAUGUAUUCUACUUAAUUGUGCAAUGAUUUUUGGUCUGAUCAUUGGGAUUUGUUGGAGAGGAAAUCAGCUUAGGUUACCCUGGAGAGUUUUUGAGUCAUUUUAAACAACAUGGUGUGUGAGACAGAUGGGGAUGAAGACAGUCACACUUCUUGAUAGAAAACACGAAUGCAAAAAAAUUACCUGUUUGACUUGCCAGUAAUAGCCUUGAUCAAUACAAUGUGCUUUGUGGUCUACAGAUGGAGGUGUUGGGUAGAAAACUGGAGAAGGAGUUACCAGAUGAGGCUCGUGUGAUUGCCUGUCGCUUCCCAUUUCCUGACUGGACUCCUACAGCCACUGAGGGUGAAGGACUAGACCAGGCCUGGGCAUAUGAUAUGAAUGCCAUACGGAAGCUUUCAACACAUGCUACCAUGAAAUGAGGAGAAAAGCACCUUUCCUUGUGUCAAAAAGCUUUGUUUUUUGUUUGAGCACCACCUGAAAGGUGGGUUUGAUGACAAAUGGCAUGUGUGUGUUGUAAAAUGCUAAACUAAACUGUGAAAUAAAGAGCCAACAUUAC